AGAGUUUGAUCCUGGCUCAGAUUGAACGCUGGCGGUAGGCUUAGCACAUGCAAGUCGAGCGCGAAAGUUCCUUCGGGGAUGAGUAGAGCGGCGGACGGGUGAGUAACGCGUAGGAAUCUGCCUGGUAGUGGGGGAUAACUCGGGGAAACUCGAGCUAAUACCGCAUACGCCCCAUGGGGGAAAGCGGGGGACCUUCGGGCCUCGUGCUAUCAGAUGAGCCUGCGUCGGAUUAGCUUGUUGGUGAGGUAAUGGCUCACCAAGGCAACGAUCCGUAGCUGGUCUGAGAGGAUGAUCAGCCACACUGGGACUGAGACACGGCCCAGACUCCUACGGGAGGCAGCAGUGGGGAAUAUUGGACAAUGGGGGCAACCCUGAUCCAGCCAUACCGCGUGUGUGAAGAAGGCCUUCGGGUUGUAAAGCACUUUCAGUAGGGAGGAAAAGGUUUCGGUUAAUAACCGGGAUCCCUGACGUUACCUACAGAAGAAGCACCGGCAAACUCCGUG
This 503-nucleotide ribosomal RNA is filed under the name uncultured Gammaproteobacteria bacterium. Its description in RNAcentral is "bacterial SSU rRNA". It matches the Rfam family "Bacterial small subunit ribosomal RNA", at positions 8 to 507 of the family's 1533-position model. The record is from RNAcentral. Lineage: Bacteria; Pseudomonadati; Pseudomonadota; Gammaproteobacteria.